RNAcentral lists this long non-coding RNA (2278 nucleotides) under Setaria viridis. Its description in RNAcentral is "long non-coding RNA (SVIR_LNC001420)". The record is from RNAcentral. Lineage: Eukaryota; Viridiplantae; Streptophyta; Magnoliopsida; Poales; Poaceae.
AGCCAGAGGAGACGAGACGCCAUCGCGACAAGUCGACCAGCGAAUCUUGGCGUCGUCAUCCCCUUUCUCUCUCGCUCAAAAGUUGCCGGAGCCCCCUCUCUCCGUCUCCCCACCGCCAUGGAGGAGGCGCAGGGUACGUCUCGCUCUCAUCUCGUUCCCUCCCCGAUCUUGAUGGUAUGCUACCGUAAUUCAGGCGCUGCGUGGCCGUGGAUGUGAUUUCCGAUUCCGCCCCCGCCCUGCCUAGGUCGAAUUCAGGUUCCGUUCUUGAUUCUGUUUCAUUUCGAGCAGCAAAUUCUGGUCCCAUGCAAUGAGGGCCUUGGCAUCUGAUCUUUCCGAAUCAGGUGUAUCCAGGUCCAGUUACGGGACGUAAAUUGCCACCAGUCCUGGUUUAAUGCCGAUUAGAGUACAAUUUCAGUACUUCAGCCGUUAUAUCCUGAUGAAUCAUCAUAUUACAUCACUCAUGAAAAUGCAGGAUGCGUUGCCGCUAGUAGGCUCAAGCCGAUGCUCCAUACUUCCUGGAGCAUGCACCUCUGUUCUUUGGGUCCCAGUUAAUUAUGCUUUUCUCAGGAGAAAGGGGUCCCGAUUAGGUAGUUCCCCCCAGUUUUCCGUCAGAGCGCGCAUCAUUUACCGUAUAAGCUUACUGUUAAAUGGUUGGUGGAUACACGCGCAUGUGCCCGCCAUCGAUGUUGUGUUCUUCUGUACCUUCGAGAUGCAGAUCCAUGUGUCAGGCAUAUUCCUAUGCUUUUGCUCCGUGGCUUCCUCUGCGUGUGCCUUUGGAACCUCCAUCAGUCUGCCUAUUGCUCCGUUGGAAAAUACACCAGCAGAGGAUGCAAUGCAUGACAUCUUGGGAAAUUGUUUUCUUUCUCUAAACUAGAAUAUGUAGACAGGCCUUAGCAGUUGGAACCAUGCUGUCAAUCUUGUCUGUCAUGCCUGCUCCUUUCAAAGACGUACUGCCACCAAUGCAAAUGCCAAGUACAUAUAUAUGUAUCAAGUGGGAAAAAAAAUAGUACCUGAAAAAAACUUGAUGCUUCCCUCCAUAUGUAGGAUUCUUUACUGAACUCACAGGCAGUUACGGCAUUCUGGAAUCUGACAGAAGAGUUAUUGGAUUUACAAGUGGCAAGUUAUAGACUGUAACCCCUUUUCUUGCCAGCCUGCCUACCUGAUUUCUUUGAGGUUAGCUAGGAAAGAAAAUUUUUAGGACAACGAAGGAUCUAUGCUCAGUUUUUUUUUCUUUGUGGAAUCAGUUCUAUUAUUAUUGUUAGCUGAAAGGUCCAUACUGCUUAUGAUUAAUCAUGAUCUAAAUGUUCUUUCCGUUUUUUUUUUACUCUAGUUGUUCAGUCAAAGGAUGGAACCAUCUCGGUUGCUUCUGCAUUUGCUGGUCAUCAGCAAGGUGAGACCAUACAACAGUGAUUUAACAUCUUUUACUUCUAGGUCUCAUGUAGGUGCACAGCUUACUGACAGAAGAUUAAGCUCUUAUGUUAUAUUUGAGCUAUAAUCUAAAUGGUCACAACGUUCAGUGUUUUGUUAAUUUGCAACAUGUAAGGACUGCAACAAAAAUCGUAAACAUGUGUUCUCACAACUUCUGCAGCCAUACAAGACAGGGACCACAAAUUCUUGACAAAAGCAGUGGAAGAAGCCUACCGGGGAGUCGAAUGUGGUGAUGGAGGUCCGUUCGGUGCAGUUGUCGUCUGUAACGAUGAAGUAGUAGUUAGCUGCCACAACAUGGUUCUGAAGCACACUGAUCCAACUGCACAUGCUGAAGUAACUGCAAUAAGAGAGGUAAAUGCUUCAGGCCACUCUCAGAAGUUACCCUCCACCACAUCUUUCUUGUGAUCUCUAGUAGCUCAUUCCAUUCUUUGAUAUCUGCUUCACAUAAUCAUUUAUGUUCAUAUUUCAGGCUUGUAAAAAGCUAGGAAAAAUUGAGCUGUCUGACUGCGAAAUUUAUGCAUCCUGUGAGCCAUGCCCAAUGUGCUUUGGUGCAGUUCAUCUCUCCCGGAUCAAGGUUCAUACUAGCUAUUUUGAUUUCUUAGCGUGGCGGACAUAGGCAAAUAGCUUAUACUGUGGUCUAACAUUCCCAUUCGUUCUGCAACGCAGAGGUUGGUUUAUGGCGCCAAGGCGGAGGCUGCCAUUGCCAUUGGAUUCGAUGACUUCAUUGCAGAUGCUCUGAGAGGCACUGGGUUCUACCAGAAGGCGAACUUGGAGAUCAAGAAGGCUGACGGCAACGGAGCGCUGAUCGCUGAGGAGGUCUUUGAGAAGACUAAGGAGAAGUUCCAGAUGU